This 73-nucleotide transfer RNA is filed under the name Candidatus Bacteroides pullicola. RNAcentral describes it as "tRNA-Trp". It matches the Rfam family "tRNA". Rfam says of the family: Transfer RNA (tRNA) molecules are approximately 80 nucleotides in length. Their secondary structure includes four short double-helical elements and three loops (D, anti-codon, and T loops). Lineage: Bacteria; Pseudomonadati; Bacteroidota; Bacteroidia; Bacteroidales; Bacteroidaceae. The record is from RNAcentral.
ACGGGAAUAGCUCAGUUGGUAGAGCAUCGGUCUCCAAAACCGAGUGUCGGGAGUUCGAUCCUCUCUUCCCGUG